ACUAGCCCAGCAGAUUUCCCCAUUAUGCUUCUCUUCUCAGUCCUGCUGUCCAUCAUUGGUCCCAGUGUCCAGCAGCUACAGAACUUGAAGGACCCAGAAUUUGUGGCUCCGGGUGGGACGGUCACCAUGUCUUGCCGAAUGGACAGUGGGAGCAUCAGUGACAGCAACCAGCCUAUGUGGGUGCAGAAAAAACCUGAGAGUAAACAUCGACUGAUGAUGUACACCACCAGGAACAGAGCACCUGACGUUCCAGCCCGUUUCUCUGGGUCUAGCUCAGGGAAUGUGAUGUCCCUGACCAUCACGGGGUCCCUUCUGGAAGAUGAAGCUGUUUAUUACUGUGCUGUGUGGACUGGGAGUCAGUGGCACAAUGCUUCAUUCAGACGGGGAAGUGAGACAAAAAACUCUUCUCCUUUGCUCCCUGUGUACAUCAGCAGAAUCUGA
Molecule: non-coding RNA, 441 nt
Organism: Lacerta agilis (Sand lizard)
Lineage: Eukaryota; Metazoa; Chordata; Lepidosauria; Squamata; Lacertidae
Source: the annotation of a RefSeq genome assembly